Molecule: ribosomal RNA, 860 nt
Filed under: uncultured Flavobacteriaceae bacterium
Lineage: Bacteria; Pseudomonadati; Bacteroidota; Flavobacteriia; Flavobacteriales; Flavobacteriaceae
Description: bacterial SSU rRNA
Rfam family: Bacterial small subunit ribosomal RNA
Source: RNAcentral
GCGGCAGGCUUCAUACAUGCAAGUCGAGGGGCAGCAUAAAUUACUUGUAAUUUGAUGGCGACCGGCGAACGGGUGCGUAACGCGUAUGCAACUUACCUUUUACUAGAGAAUAGCCAAGAGAAAUUUUGAUUAAUGCUCUAUACACUUAUUAAUUCACAUGAAUCUAUAAGAAAAGCUCCGGCGGUAAAAGAUGGGCAUGCGUCCUAUUAGCUUGUAGGUGAGGUAAUGGCUCACCUAAGCUCCGAUAGGUAGGGGUCCUGAGAGGGAGAUCCCCCACACUGGUACUGAGACACGGACCAGACUUCUACGGAAGGCAGCAGUAAGGAAUAUUGGACAAUGGAGGCAACUCUGAUCCAGCCAUGCCGCGUGAAGGAAGACGGCCUUAUGGGUUGUAAACUUCUUUUGUACAGGAAGAAACCUUUCCACGUGUGGAAAGCUGACGGUACUGUAAGAAUAAGGAUCGGCUAACUCCGUGCCAGCAGCCGCGGUAAUACGGAGGAUCCAAGCGUUAUCCGGAAUUAUUGGGUUUAAAGGGUCCGCAGGCUGUUUGUUAAGUCAGAGGUGAAAUCCUACCGCUCAACGGUAGAACUGCCUUUGAUACUGGCAAACUUGAGUUAUUGUGAAGUAGUUAGAAUGUGUAGUGUAGCGGUGAAAUGCAUAGAUAUUACACAGAAUACCGAUUGCGAAAGCAGAUUACUAACAAUAUACUGACGCUGAGGGACGAAAGCGUGGGUAGCGAACAGGAUUAGAUACCCUGGUAGUCCACGCCGUAAACGAUGGUCACUAGCUGUUUGAUGUACAUUGGUACAUUGAGUGGCUAAGCGAAAGUGAUAAGUGACCCACCUGGGGAGUACGCUCGC